GGCCGCGGGGCGGGGAUGGGGACGGGCGGUUGAGAGACUGGCUUCGACGUAAAACCAGCGUUCACCCUGCAGAUCCCAGUUCCUGGAAGUUUAUCGCUUGUCAGUAGAGUAGUAAAAACGAAGAAGGAUUUCCCAGGAGUCCAACAGUAUGUAAGGUUUCACGACCACGUCAGAAGUCACAGGAUCAACAGCUGGAGGAGGGCAUUUUAAAAACUCCUCCAAGGGGAAUCACAUCUAUUGAAGUGCAAAAUGGAGAUUUGAGACAGGAAAGUAACAAGUGAAUGAGACGGGAGGAGACAGCUAUUGAUCAGUAGCAUUGACUCCCUUGUCAUGCUUUGCUUGGAAUUCUGAUAAUCUUCUUUGCCUCUGAUAAGUGGCCACUGGCUCUACCAAGUAGUAACGGAAGAUGUAUCGGAUGCACAAAUGUAUUUGUUACCUUAAUAGGAUGUAAGCCCCUUGACCGUAAAACUGGUGUCCGCCCAGAACAGGUACCUCGUGCAGAGUGGGGCUCAUCCUGUGUCUGUUAAUAAUACUAAUAACUGUCAUCUAUUGGGUUGCCCUUUCUCGUGUGUACCUGGCCCUUUUCUAAGUCCCUUGCAUAUAUCAACUCAUGUAAUCCUCAUAGGGACCACAAAAAGAUUCCCUUUCUCUUUAAAAUGAAAAAAGCAAGACACGGAGAGGUUAUUCAACUUUCCCAGAGACACACAGCUUGUCGUUAGCAGAUCCAAGGUUUAAACCCAGGCAGCGGGCCCCCACUGCCCCCAGCUCAGUCUUCUCCGACUCAGUGUUGCUCACACCAGAGCAUCAACAUCGGGAACCCUUGUGUGCUUCCUCUCCUUCCUCACCCACCCCUCCACUCCACCUCCCUUCCCCCAGCAUGCAACACACAGCGGGC
Molecule: long non-coding RNA, 895 nt
Organism: Neofelis nebulosa (Clouded leopard)
Lineage: Eukaryota; Metazoa; Chordata; Mammalia; Carnivora; Felidae
Exons: 3
Source: RefSeq, a predicted model, not a curated record